RNAcentral lists this ribosomal RNA (253 nucleotides) under uncultured bacterium. Its description in RNAcentral is "partial 16S ribosomal RNA". It matches the Rfam family "Bacterial small subunit ribosomal RNA", at positions 524 to 776 of the family's 1533-position model. The record is from RNAcentral.
UACAGAGGGUGCGAGCGUUAAUCGGAAUUACUGGGCGUAAAGCGUGCGUAGACGGUUAUUUAAGUCGGGUGUGAAAGCCCCGGGCUCAACCUGGGAUUUGCAUUCGAGACUGAAUAGCUAGGGUACGGUAGAGGGAAGUGGAAUUUCCGGUGUAGCGGUGAAAUGCGUAGAUAUCGGAAGGAACAUCAGUGGCGAAAGCGACUUCCUGGACCAGUACCGACGUUCAGGCACGAAAGCGUGGGGAGCAAACGGG